GACGAACGCUGGCGGCGUGCUUAACACAUGCAAGUCGAACGGAAAGGCCCUGCUUUUGUUGGUUGCUCGAUUGGCGAACGGGUGAGUAACACGUGUGUAACCUGCCCUUGACUUUGUGAUAACUUCAGGAAACUGGGUCUAAUACCCGAUAGGAGCUCCUGCUGCAUGGUGGGGGUUGGAAAGUUUCGGCGGUUGGGGAUGGACUCGCGGCUUAUCAGCUUGUUGGUGUGGUAGUUGCUUACCAAGGCUUUGACGGGUAGCCGGCCUGAGAGGGUGACCGGCCACAUGGGGACUGAGAUACGGCGCAGACGCCUACGGGAGGCAGCAGUGGGGAAUAUUGCACAAUGGGCGGAAGCCUGAUGCAGCAACGCCGCGUGCGGGAUGACGGCCUUCGGGUUGUAAACCGAUUUCGACUGUGACGAAGAGUGAGUGACAGUAAUGGAUAAAGAAGCAACGGCUAACUACGUG
Molecule: ribosomal RNA, 468 nt
Filed under: uncultured bacterium
Lineage: Bacteria
Description: partial 16S ribosomal RNA
Rfam family: Bacterial small subunit ribosomal RNA
Source: RNAcentral